Molecule: non-coding RNA, 704 nt
Organism: Dermacentor albipictus
Lineage: Eukaryota; Metazoa; Arthropoda; Arachnida; Ixodida; Ixodidae
Source: RefSeq, a predicted model, not a curated record
UAUGUAGUUCUGCGGGGCGCCAAAGCGAACGAAGGCAGGAGUGCUCCUUAUCGUAUAUCCGGUUCCAGCCCGUCAAGCGUAAGGCUUGUGAGAUUAAUGUGGGCAGAAAGAACUGGCGCUCAUAUGACGCUUUUGUUUUGUUCUCGGAACGCUUGAAGCCAGACAACUACAGCGGCGAUACGCGCCUGCUCACCGAGUUCGGGAUACGCGUAAAAAAAACUGAGGCAGCCGUCAGGCGCGAAGCCAACCGUGUUCGCGCACCGAGCCAUCCGGCAAGCAAUCCCCCGGCAAAACGGCUCUCACAAACUACAUAUGGAACAACGACGGCAUUCACAAAGAAUGGAAGAUGCAAACACAAGACGUCCAACUUCAAGUGAAAUUUUCACACUUUCCAAGUUGGAGCCGGAGUCACAGGAGCUCACGCCAUCUCCACCAAGGCGCUUAACUGCGGCUGGAAGACUUUCUUUGGGCGGCUGUGACCCCAUCGCUUUAAAGCCGAGCCGUGUACAGGCAGAAAAGAAGUCCUACGCGGCCGGUAUUGACAAAUGCUGGUGGGUGGCGGUGCUGGCCUUUCUCAUGACCGUCAUGGAGUCGUCGUCCAGCCGCUGCUCCGGCUUCCUCAUGGUCGGAAUCAUGGAGCAGAUGAACGUCGAACGCGGCCUCGCCUCCUGGCCUGUCAGCCUCAUCGGCUCCCUUAUCGACUG